This 888-nucleotide ribosomal RNA is filed under the name uncultured bacterium. RNAcentral's name for it is "bacterial SSU rRNA". It matches the Rfam family "Bacterial small subunit ribosomal RNA", at positions 80 to 963 of the family's 1533-position model. The record is from RNAcentral.
UUGCACCUUAUCUUAGCGGCGGACGGGUGAGUAAUGCUUAGGAAUCUGCCUAUUAGUGGGGGACAACAUUCCGAAAGGAAUGCUAAUACCGCAUACGUCCUACGGGAGAAAGCAGGGGAUCUUCGGACCUUGCGCUAAUAGAUGAGCCUAAGUCGGAUUAGCUAGUUGGUGGGGUAAAGGCCUACCAAGGCGACGAUCUGUAGCGGGUCUGAGAGGAUGAUCCGCCACACUGGGACUGAGACACGGCCCAGACUCCUACGGGAGGCAGCAGUGGGGAAUAUUGGACAAUGGGGGGAACCCUGAUCCAGCCAUGCCGCGUGUGUGAAGAAGGCCUUAUGGUUGUAAAGCACUUUAAGCGAGGAGGAGGCUACUGAGACUAAUACUCUUGGAUAGUGGACGUUACUCGCAGAAUAGGCACCGGCUAACUCUGUGCCAGCAGCCGCGGUAAUACAGAGGGUGCGAGCGUUAAUCGGAUUUACUGGGCGUAAAGCGUGCGUAGGCGGCUUUUUAAGUCGGAUGUGAAAUCCCCGAGCUUAACUUGGGAAUUGCAUUCGAUACUGGGAAGCUAGAGUAUGGGAGAGGAUGGUAGAAUUCCAGGUGUAGCGGUGAAAUGCGUAGAGAUCUGGAGGAAUACCGACGGCGAAGGCAGCCAUCUGGCCUAAUACUGACGCUGAGGUACGAAAGCAUGGGGAGCAAACAGGAUUAGAUACCCUGGUAGUCCAUGCCGUAAACGAUGUCUACUAGCCGUUGGGGCCUUUGAGGCUUUAGUGGCGCAGCUAACGCGAUAAGUAGACCGCCUGGGGAGUACGGUCGCAAGACUAAAACUCAAAUGAAUUGACGGGGGCCCGCACAAGCGGUGGAGCAUGUGGUUUAAUUCGAUGCAACGCG